This 669-nucleotide ribosomal RNA is filed under the name uncultured Lachnospiraceae bacterium. Its description in RNAcentral is "bacterial SSU rRNA". It matches the Rfam family "Bacterial small subunit ribosomal RNA", at positions 57 to 724 of the family's 1533-position model. Lineage: Bacteria; Bacillati; Bacillota; Clostridia; Lachnospirales; Lachnospiraceae. The record is from RNAcentral.
GCAAGUCGAACGAAACACCUUAUUUGAUUUUCUUCGGAACUGAAGAUUUGGUGAUUGAGUGGCGGACGGGUGAGUAACGCGUGGGUAACCUGCCCUGUACAGGGGGAUAACAGUCAGAAAUGACUGCUAAUACCGCAUAAGACCACAGCACCGCAUGGUGCAGGGGUAAAAGCUCCGGUGGUACAGGAUGGACCCGCGUCUGAUUAGCUGGUUGGUGAGGUAACGGCUCACCAAGGCGACGAUCAGUAGCCGGCUUGAGAGAGUGAACGGCCACAUUGGGACUGAGACACGGCCCAAACUCCUACGGGAGGCAGCAGUGGGGAAUAUUGCACAAUGGGGGAAACCCUGAUGCAGCGACGCCGCGUGAGUGAAGAAGUAUUUCGGUAUGUAAAGCUCUAUCAGCAGGGAAGAAAAUGACGGUACCUGACUAAGAAGCCCCGGCUAACUACGUGCCAGCAGCCGCGGUAAUACGUAGGGGGCAAGCGUUAUCCGGAUUUACUGGGUGUAAAGGGAGCGUAGACGGCAAGGCAAGUCUGAUGUGAAAACCCAGGGCUUAACCCUGGGACUGCAUUGGAAACUGUCUGGCUCGAGUGCCGGAGAGGUAAGCGGAAUUCCUAGUGUAGCGGUGAAAUGCGUAGAUAUUAGGAAGAACACCAGUGGCGAAGGCGG